Molecule: ribosomal RNA, 371 nt
Filed under: uncultured soil bacterium
Lineage: Bacteria
Description: bacterial SSU rRNA
Rfam family: Bacterial small subunit ribosomal RNA
Source: RNAcentral
AUACCGCAUGACGUUCUGGGUUUAAAGACCUGGAAACCAAAGCCGGGGACCGCAAGGCCUGGCGCUUGAAGAGGAGCCCGCGUCCGAUUAGCUAGUUGGCGGGGUAAUGGCCCACCAAGGCGACGAUCGGUAGCCGGCCUGAGAGGGCGGACGGCCACACUGGAACUGAGACACGGUCCAGACUCCUACGGGAGGCAGCAGUGGGGAAUUGUUCACAAUGGGCGCAAGCCUGAUGACGCAACGCCGCGUGGGGGAUGAAGGUCUUCGGAUUGUAAACCCCUGUCGAAUGGGACGAAAGACCCGGGAGCUAAUCAUCCUGGGAGUGACGGUACCGUUAAAGGAAGCCACGGCUAACUCUGUGCCAGCAGCCG